GAGUUUGAUCCUGGCUCAAGAUGAACGCUAGCGGCAGGCUUAACACAAGCAAGUCGAGGGGUAUUGGUUUUCGGACCAAGAGACCGGCGCACGGGUGCGUAACGCGUAUGCAAUCUACCUUUCACAGAGGGAUAGCCCAGAGAAAUUUGGAUUAAUACCUCAUAGUAUUAUAGAAUGGCAUCAUUUUAUAAUUAAAGUCACAACGGUGAAAGAUGUGCAUGCGUCCCAUUAGCUUGUUGGUAAGGUAACGGCUUACCAAGGCAACGAUGGGUAGGGGUCCUGAGAGGGAGAUCCCCCACACUGGUACUGAGACACGGACCAUACUCCUAGAGGAGGCAGCAGUGAGGAAUAUUGGUCAAUGGACGCAAGUCUGAACCAGCCAUGCCGCGUGCAGGAUGACGGUCCUAUGGAUUUGUAAACUGCUUUUGUACGAGAAGAAACAACAUUACGUGUAAUGUCUUGACGGUAUCGUAAGAAUAAGGAUCGGCUAACUCCGUGCCAGCAGCCGCGGUAAUACGGAGGAUCCAAGCGUUAUCCGGAAUCAUUGGGUUUAAAGGGUCCGUAGGCGGUUUAGUAAGUCAGUGGUGAAAGCCCAUCGCUCAACGGUGGAACGGCCAUUGAUACUGCUAGACUUGAAUUAUUAGGAAGUACUUAGAUAUGUAGUGUAGCGGUGAAAUGCUUAAAGAUUACAUGGAAUACAAUUGCGAAGGCAGUACUACUAUUAAUUGACGCUGAUGGACGAAAGCGUGGGUAGCGAACAGGAUUAGAUACCCUGGUAGUCCACGCCGAAACGAUGGAUACUAGCUGUGGGGCAACUUCAUGCUUAGCGAAAGUGAUAGUUUCCACCUGGGAGUAGUUCGCAGAUGAACUCAAAGGAUUGACGGGGCCGCCAGCGGUG
This 898-nucleotide ribosomal RNA is filed under the name uncultured bacterium. Its description in RNAcentral is "bacterial SSU rRNA". It matches the Rfam family "Bacterial small subunit ribosomal RNA", at positions 9 to 934 of the family's 1533-position model. The record is from RNAcentral.